Molecule: ribosomal RNA, 524 nt
Filed under: uncultured bacterium
Lineage: Bacteria
Description: partial 16S ribosomal RNA
Rfam family: Bacterial small subunit ribosomal RNA
Source: RNAcentral
GACGAACGCUGGCGGCGUGCCUAAUACAUGCAAGUCGAACGAAGCUGUUUUAACUGGUGCUUGCACCGACUUAAACAACUGAGUGGCGAACGGGUGAGUAACACGUGGGUAACCUGCCCCAAAGCGGGGGAUAACAUUUGGAAACAGAUGCUAAUACCGCAUAACCACAGAAACCACAUGGUUUCUGUGUCAAAGAUGGUUUCGGCUUUCACUUUGGGAUGGACCCGCGGCGUAUUAGCUAGUUGGUAAGGUAAUGGCUUACCAAGGCAAUGAAACGUAGCCGAACUGAGAGGUUGAUCGGGCACAUUGGGACUGAGACACGGCCCAAACUCCUGCGGGAGGCAGCAGUAGGGAAUCUUCCACAAUGGACGAAAGUCUGAUGGAGCAACGCCGCGUGAGUGAAGAAGGUUUUCGGAUCGUAAAACUCUGUUGUCAGGGAAGAACGUGUGCGAGAGUAACUGCUCGUGCAGUGACGGUAUCUGGCCAGAAAGCCACGGCUAACUACGUGCCAGCCGCCGCCGUAA